UGUGUGUUAGUGGAACGGUCUGGAAAGUCCGACGGUACAGGGUGAUAGUCCCGUACACCAAAAUGCACAGGCUGUGAACUCGAAGAGUAGGGCGGGACACGUGGUAUCCUGUCUGAAUAUGGGGGGACCAUCCUCCAAGGCUAAAUACUCCUGACUGACCGAUAGUGAACCAGUACCGUGAGGGAAAGGCGAAAAGAACCCCGGCGAGGGGAGUGAAAAAGAACCUGAAACCGUGUACGUACAAGCAGUGGGAGCACCUUCGGGUGUGACUGCGUACCUUUUGUAUAAUGGGUCAGCGACUUAUAUUCUGUAGCAAGGUUAACCGUAUAGGGGAGCCGCAGGGAAACCGAGUCUUAACUGGGCGUUAAGUUGCAGGGUAUAGACCCGAAACCCGGUGAUCUAGCCAUGGGCAGGUUGAAGGUUGGGUAACACUAACUGGAGGACCGAACCGACUAAUGUUGAAAAAUUAGCGGAUGACUUGUGGCUGGGGGUGAAAGGCCAAUCAAACCGGGAGAUAGCUGGUUCUCCCCGAAAGCU
Molecule: ribosomal RNA, 537 nt
Filed under: Klebsiella pneumoniae
Lineage: Bacteria; Pseudomonadati; Pseudomonadota; Gammaproteobacteria; Enterobacterales; Enterobacteriaceae
Description: partial 23S ribosomal RNA
Rfam family: Bacterial large subunit ribosomal RNA
Source: RNAcentral